RNAcentral lists this long non-coding RNA (203 nucleotides) under Olea europaea (common olive). RNAcentral's name for it is "long non-coding RNA (OEUR_LNC015647)". Lineage: Eukaryota; Viridiplantae; Streptophyta; Magnoliopsida; Lamiales; Oleaceae. The record is from RNAcentral.
AAAACUUUGCAAGAACCACAAAAUUUUGGUUCAUGCUCAUAUAGGAUUUCUUGCACCCUUAGUACACCAUUAGGGAGUCUAAUAUUGACCACCCUAACAAGCUCCUUCGAUGCGUCAACCUCUACAAGAGCUCUAGCAUAAGAGACCCUUUCCCUACUUGCCGUUAUGUUAUCCGUGGAGAUAGGUUUACCAACUUUGGAGAC